CGGCGNNUUUUCCGGUUUUNUCCNGCCGGACCCGACUGCUAUCGGGAUAAGGCUAAGCCAUGGGAGCCGAACGCCCUAUCACUAUAGGGCGUGACGCACGGCUGAGUAACACGUGGCUAACCUGCCCUAGGGACUGGGAUAACUCCGGGAAACUGGAGCUAAACCCGGAUAGGUGAGGAGUCCUGGAAUGGUUCCUCGCCCAAAGAGAUCUCAAGGGGUUAAUGCUUGAGAUCUGCCCUAGGAUGGGGCUACGUCCCAUCAUGGUUGUUGGCGGGGUAAUGGCCCGCCAAGCCAACGACGGGUAGGGGCCCUGAGAGGGGGAGCCCCCAGAUGGACCCUGAGACAAGGGUCCAGGCCCUACGGGGCGCACCAGGCGCGAAACCUCUGCAAUGUGGGAAACCGUGACAGGGUUAUCCCGAGUGCUCCCGUUAAGGGAGCUUUUCCUCACUGUAAGGAGGCGAGGGAAUAAGCGGGGGGCAAGACUGGUGUCAGCCGCCGCG
This 500-nucleotide ribosomal RNA is filed under the name uncultured crenarchaeote. RNAcentral describes it as "bacterial SSU rRNA". It matches the Rfam family "Archaeal small subunit ribosomal RNA", at positions 1 to 469 of the family's 1478-position model. The record is from RNAcentral. Lineage: Archaea; Thermoproteati; Thermoproteota.